This 468-nucleotide ribosomal RNA is filed under the name uncultured bacterium. RNAcentral's name for it is "partial 16S ribosomal RNA". It matches the Rfam family "Bacterial small subunit ribosomal RNA", at positions 28 to 507 of the family's 1533-position model. The record is from RNAcentral.
GACGAACGCUGGCGGCGUGCUUAACACAUGCAAGUCGAACGGAAAGGCCCUGCUUUUGUGGGGUGCUCGAGUGGCGAACGGGUGAGUAACACGUGAGUAACCUGCCCUUGACUUUGGGAUAACUUCAGGAAACUGGGGCUAAUACCGGAUAGGAGCUCCUGUUGCAUGGUGGGGGUUGGAAAGUUUCGGCGGUUGGGGAUGGACUCGCGGCUUAUCAGCUUGUUGGUGGGGUAGUGGCUAACCAUGGCUUUGACGGGUAGCCGGCCUGAGAGGGUGACCGGCCACAUUGUGACUGAGAUACGGCCCAGACUCCUACGGGAGGCAUCAGUGGGGAAUAUUGCACAAUGGGCGGAAGCCUGAUGCAGCAACGCCGCGUGCGGGAUGACGGCCUUCGGGUUGUAAACCGCUUUCGCCUGUGACGAAGCGUGAGUGACGGUAAUGGGUAAAGAAGCACCGGCUAACUACGUG